UACGUAGGGGGCUAGCGUUGUCCGGAAUCAUUGGGCGUAAAGAGCGUGUAGGCGGCCCGGUAAGUCCGCUGUGAAAGUCGGGGGCUCAACCCUCGAAUGCCGGUGGAUACUGUCGGGCUAGAGUGCGGAAGAGGCGAGUGGAAUUCCUGGUGUAGCGGUGAAGUGCGCAGAUAUCAGGAGGAACACCAAUUGCGAAGGCAGCUCGCUGGGACGUAACUGACGCUGAGACGCGAAAGCGUGGGGAGCAAACAGG
This 253-nucleotide ribosomal RNA is filed under the name uncultured bacterium. Its description in RNAcentral is "partial 16S ribosomal RNA". It matches the Rfam family "Bacterial small subunit ribosomal RNA", at positions 524 to 776 of the family's 1533-position model. The record is from RNAcentral.